RNAcentral lists this ribosomal RNA (1243 nucleotides) under metagenome. Its description in RNAcentral is "bacterial LSU rRNA". It matches the Rfam family "Bacterial large subunit ribosomal RNA", at positions 1564 to 2818 of the family's 2925-position model. The record is from RNAcentral.
UGAGUACGAGACGCUAAGGCGUCGAAGUAGUGGAUGUCAUACUUCCAAGAAAAGCUUGCACUGUCAUAAAUAAAAACGCCUGUACCAUAACCGACACAGGUGGGUAGGUAGAGUAUACUAAGGGGCGCGAGAUAACUCUCUCUAAGGAACUCGGCAAAAUAACUCCGUAACUUCGGGAGAAGGAGUGCCUUAUUCGUAAGGCUGCGAUAACAAGAUCCAAGCAACUGUUUAUCAAAAACACAGGUCUCCGCUAAGUCGUAAGACGAUGUAUGGGGGCUGACGCCUGCCCAGUGCCAGAAGGUUAAAGAAGUCGGUUAGCAUUAGCGAAGCUGGUAACUGAAGCCCUGGUGAACGGCGGCCGUAACGAUAACGGUCCUAAGGUAGCGAAAUUCCUUGUCGGGUAAGUUCCGACCCGCACGAAAGGCGUAAUGAUUUGGAUACUGUCUCGGAGAGGGGCUCGGUGAAAUAGACUUGUCUGUGAAGAUGCGGACUACCUGCACCAGGACAGAAAGACCCUAUGAAGCUUUACUGUAACUUGAAAUUGAAAUUGGACUUUAUUCGCGCAGUAUAGGUGGGAGGUGUUGAUUAUAAUCUUGCGGGAUUAUUGGAGCCAUCAGUGAGAUACCACUCUUGUAAUGUUAGAUUUCUAACUUUGAAUCAUUAUCUGGUCAAAGAACAGUUUCAGGCGGGCAGUUUGACUGGGGCGGUCGCCUCCUAAAUGGUAACGGAGGCGUACAAAGGUUUCCUCUGAACGGGUAGAAAUCGUAUCUAGAGUGUAAAGGCAUAAGGAAGCUUGACUGUGAGACCUACAAGUCGAGCAGGGACGAAAGUCGGUCUUAGUGAUCUGACGGUACUGAGUGGAAAGGCCGUCACUCAACGGAUAAAAGUUACUCUAGGAUAACAGGCUGAUCUCCCCCAAGAGUUCACAUCGACGGGGAGGUUUGGCACUUCGAUGUCGGCUCAUCGCAUCCUGGGGCGGUAGUACGUCCCAAGGGUUGGGCUGUUCGCCCAUGAAAGCGGUACGCGAGCUGGGUUCAGAACGUCGUGAGACAGUUCGGUCCAUAUCCGGUGUAGGCGUUAGAAUAUUGAGAGGAGCCUUCUUUAGUACGAGAGGACCGAGAAGGACAUACCUCUGGUGUACCAGUUAUCGUGCCAACGGUAAACGCUGGGUAGCUAUGUAUGGAGUGGAUAACCGCUGAAAGCAUCUAAGUGGGAAGCCCACCUCAAGAUAAGUAUUCUCACC